GGCAAGGUGGCCGAGUGGUUAAGGCGUCAGUUUUGAAAGCUGAUUCCCUAGGGAUCGUCGGUUCGAAUCCGGCCCUUGUCG
Molecule: transfer RNA, 81 nt
Filed under: Aspergillus fumigatus Af293
Lineage: Eukaryota; Fungi; Ascomycota; Eurotiomycetes; Eurotiales; Aspergillaceae
Also listed under: 2 other names
Description: tRNA-Ser (TGA) (tRNA-Ser-TGA-1-1)
Rfam family: tRNA
About the family: Transfer RNA (tRNA) molecules are approximately 80 nucleotides in length. Their secondary structure includes four short double-helical elements and three loops (D, anti-codon, and T loops). Further hydrogen bonds mediate the characteristic L-shaped molecular structure. tRNAs have two regions of fundamental functional importance: the anti-codon, which is responsible for specific mRNA codon recognition, and the 3' end, to which the tRNAs corresponding amino acid is attached (by aminoacyl-tRNA synthetases). tRNAs cope with the degeneracy of the genetic code in two manners: having more than one tRNA (with a specific anti-codon) for a particular amino acid; and 'wobble' base-pairing, i.e. permitting non-standard base-pairing at the 3rd anti-codon position.
Source: RNAcentral